AGUGGCAGACGGGUGAGUAACACGUGGGAAUCUACCCAUUAGUAUGGAAUAACUUUUGCAAACAGAAGCUAAUACCGUAUGACCUCUAAGGAGGAAAGAUUUAUCGCUAAUGGAUGAGCCCGCGCUAGAUUAGGUAGUUGGUGGGGUAAUGGCCUACCAAGCCUGUGAUCUAUAGCUGGUCUGAGAGGAUGAUCAGCCACACUGGAACUGAGAUACGGUCCAGACUCC
RNAcentral lists this ribosomal RNA (228 nucleotides) under uncultured bacterium. Its description in RNAcentral is "partial 16S ribosomal RNA". It matches the Rfam family "Bacterial small subunit ribosomal RNA", at positions 94 to 339 of the family's 1533-position model. The record is from RNAcentral.